This 218-nucleotide microRNA precursor is filed under the name Oryza sativa (Asian cultivated rice). RNAcentral's name for it is "miR812r stem-loop (osa-MIR812r)". Its record names the gene osa-MIR812r. It matches the Rfam family "MIR812 microRNA precursor family". The record is from miRBase by way of RNAcentral. Lineage: Eukaryota; Viridiplantae; Streptophyta; Magnoliopsida; Poales; Poaceae.
CCUAAAAUAAGUAUAGUUUUGCACUGUUCAUGUCUAACGUUUGACCGUUCGUCUUAUUUGAAAAUUUUUUAUGAUUAAUAUUUUUGUUGUUAUUAGAUAAUAAAACAUGAAUAGUAUUUUAUGUGUGACUAACUUUUUUUAAUUUUCUUAUAAAUUUUUUAAAUAAGACGGACGGUCAAACGUUAGACACGAAUUUCUACGGCUGCACUUAUUUUAGG